Molecule: ribosomal RNA, 270 nt
Filed under: uncultured bacterium
Lineage: Bacteria
Description: partial 16S ribosomal RNA
Rfam family: Bacterial small subunit ribosomal RNA
Source: RNAcentral
UAGGGAAUCUUCCACAAUGGACGCAAGUCUGAUGGAGCAACGCCGCGUGAGUGAAGAAGGCUUUCGGGUCGUAAAACUCUGUUAUUGAAGAAGAACGUGUGUGACAGUAACUGGUCAUGCAGUGACGGUAUUCAAUCAGAAAGUCACGGCUAACUACGUGCCAGCAGCCGCGGUAAUACGUAGGUGGCAAGCGUUGUCCGGAUUUAUUGGGCGUAAAGCNAGUGCAGGCGGUCUUUUAAGUCUGAUGUGAAAGCCUUCGGCUUAACCGAA